Transfer RNA from Rosellinia necatrix, 88 nucleotides. It matches the Rfam family "tRNA". From Rfam's summary of the family: Transfer RNA (tRNA) molecules are approximately 80 nucleotides in length. Their secondary structure includes four short double-helical elements and three loops (D, anti-codon, and T loops). NCBI's taxonomy places the organism in Eukaryota, Fungi, Ascomycota, Sordariomycetes, Xylariales, Xylariaceae. The record is from Rfam.
CUCCUGAUGGCACAGUUGGUAGCGCGUUGGACUGUAAUUGUAAUUGCUUGAUAUCCACAGGUCGUGUGUUCGAAUCACACUCAGGAGA